Molecule: ribosomal RNA, 499 nt
Filed under: uncultured bacterium
Lineage: Bacteria
Description: bacterial SSU rRNA
Rfam family: Bacterial small subunit ribosomal RNA
Source: RNAcentral
CGAACGCUGGCGGCGCGUUUAAGCAUGCAAGUCGAGCGGCAAGGGCCUUCGGGCCCCUAGAGCGGCGGACGGGUGAGUAACACGUGGACCAAUCGUGCCCCCCGGCCCGGGAUAGCCCAGGGAAACCUGGAUUAAUACCGGAUGAGACGGGACCCGCGAUGGCGGGACCCGGGAAAGGCGCUGCGGCGCCGCCGGGGGAUGAGUCUGCGUCCCAUUAGCUAGACGGCGGGGUAACGGCCCACCGUGGCGACGAUGGGUAGCCGGCCUGAGAGGGUGGACGGCCACAUUGGAACUGAGACACGGUCCAGACUCCUACGGGAGGCAGCAGCUAAGAAUCUUCCGCAAUGGGCGAAAGCCUGACGGAGCCGACGCCGCGUGAACGAAGAAGGCCGUGAGGUUGUAAAGUUCUUUUCGGGAGGGGAACAACCGUGGCAGGGAAUGGCCGCGGGAUGACGUGAAUCCCGGAAUAAGCCCCGGCUAACUACGUGCCAGCCGCCGC